Molecule: long non-coding RNA, 236 nt
Filed under: Helianthus annuus (common sunflower)
Lineage: Eukaryota; Viridiplantae; Streptophyta; Magnoliopsida; Asterales; Asteraceae
Description: sRNA HanXRQr2_Chr06g0253651
Rfam family: Small nucleolar RNA Z199 (bases 1-81)
Source: RNAcentral
CAUCAAGUGAUGAGAAAUAUAACUGCAACAAAAUGAUCGACUAUUUGUUCGUGAUUAUUGGUAUUUAAGUCUCUGAUGAUGAUGAUCAUGAUGAACAACAUAUAAUCAAAUGUUAUUUUACUGAGUGUUAAUUUACACUCAUUGUUUUUGUUAUUUUGGAGAAAUGAUGAGUAAUUAAUUGGUCCGUGUUUCUGAAUUAACCGUGACCGACAACUUUUUAACCAACUUCUGAUCUC